GACGAACGCUGGCGGCGUGCUUAACACAUGCAAGUCGAACGGAAAGGCCCUGCUUUUGUGGGGUGCUCGAGUGGCGAACGGGUGAGUAACACGUGAGUAACCUGCCCUUGACUUUGGGAUAACUUCAGGAAACUGGGGCUAAUACCGGAUAGGAGCUCCUGCUGCAUGGUGGGGGUUGGAAAGUUUCGGCGGUUGGGGAUGGACUCGCGGCUUAUCAGCUUGUUGGUGGGGUAGUGGCUUACCAAGGCUGUGACGGGUAGCCGGCCUGAGAGGGUGACCGGGCACAUUGGGACUGAGAUACGGCCCAGACUGCUACGGGAGGCAGCAGUGGGGAAUAUUGCACAAUGGGCGGAAGCCUGAUGCAGAAACGCCGCGUGCGGGAUGACGGCCUUCGGGUUGUAAACCGCUUUCGCCUGUGACGAAGCGUGAGUGACGGUAAUGGGUAAAGAAGCACCGGCUAACUACGUG
Molecule: ribosomal RNA, 468 nt
Filed under: uncultured bacterium
Lineage: Bacteria
Description: partial 16S ribosomal RNA
Rfam family: Bacterial small subunit ribosomal RNA
Source: RNAcentral